This 486-nucleotide ribosomal RNA is filed under the name uncultured bacterium. RNAcentral describes it as "partial 16S ribosomal RNA". It matches the Rfam family "Bacterial small subunit ribosomal RNA", at positions 30 to 507 of the family's 1533-position model. The record is from RNAcentral.
AUUGAACGCUGGCGGCAUGCCUUACACAUGCAAGUCGAACGGCAGCACGGGUGCUUGCACCUGGUGGCGAGUGGCGAACGGGUGAGUAAUACAUCGGAACAUGUCCUGUAGUGGGGGAUAGCCCGGCGAAAGCCGGAUUAAUACCGCAUACGAUCCACGGAUGAAAGCGGGGGACCUUCGGGCCUCGCGCUAUAGGGUUGGCCGAUGGCUGAUUAGCUAGUUGGUGGGGUAAAGGCCUACCAAGGCGACGAUCAGUAGCUGGUCUGAGAGGACGACCAGCCACACUGGGACUGAGACACGGCCCAGACUCCUACGGGAGGCAGCAGUGGGGAAUUUUGGACAAUGGGCGAAAGCCUGAUCCAGCAAUGCCGCGUGUGUGAAGAAGGCCUUCGGGUUGUAAAGCACUUUUGUCCGGAAAGAAAUCCUUGGCUCUAAUACAGUCGGGGGAUGACGGUUCCGGAAGAAUAAGCACCGGCUAACUACGUG